UUGGAGGAAAAAAAAUGUUUUAUUUUAGCUGAAAUGAAAUCAAUAAUGUGAUUUCUCUGUUUGUUUUCUUUUUUGAUACUCACGGGAUAUACAUCUGAUAAGGAACAAAACCUUGUAUACAGGUAUGUUAAUAUGACAUCACAGCGACACAGCCUCAUCACUCAGACAUUGCCUGGCAAUUGUAAUCAAUAUAAGGACUAUGAAAUCAAUUCCAAUCACACCAUUGAUUACGAGUCGAACACACAUGUUCCAACAUUAAGCUCUCAGAAACAUCUGUCUCUACACUUGAACCAGGACAAGCCGAAAUCAGACAUCCAUACCCUGAGUAGAAAGUUGCACCUCUCCCGAUACCAGUCCGAGGUUUAAGGUUUGAAACUCCAGGUAACGAGUACUGUUGUGUAAUAAUAUCUCCAAUAUAUUGCCCGCAAAGUCCAUCCGUUAUAUCCAUCAACUGAUCAAACUGGGGGCGUCUCACCAGUUACAUGACUGAUGGAUCAAAGAAUCAAUGAUGCCACUGAUCAGGCCAAUAACCAACAGGAGAAUACCUUGGAAAUAUUUGAGAAUCGAGAUUUGAGGACAUAUAUCUUCCACUAGCAGAUCACAGUAUAAGUAGCAGUUUAUGUAAUGGCACUGGAAGUCAUCUUUACAGCAUUGGUUCUGGAAGCCACAGGGUCACGUGGACUGAAGUGUACAGGGAAUCAUGACCGCCAUCGAAUCAAGAAACGGGUAAAAUAAAUCCAUUUUCAGUUUUCAAGGCUACAACAGCUUGGAGAUGAAGAGGUCGUUCUUCUUCAUGAUGGGAACUCCCAUCGAUCUGUACAAAGAGCAGCAGCGCUAACAAAGUUCUGCUUGAAGAGGAAAGAAAGAGAGUUUUGCUACAAGUACUCGGUGUU
RNAcentral lists this long non-coding RNA (893 nucleotides) under Olea europaea subsp. europaea. The record is from RNAcentral. Lineage: Eukaryota; Viridiplantae; Streptophyta; Magnoliopsida; Lamiales; Oleaceae.